Molecule: ribosomal RNA, 424 nt
Filed under: uncultured bacterium
Lineage: Bacteria
Description: bacterial SSU rRNA
Rfam family: Bacterial small subunit ribosomal RNA
Source: RNAcentral
GGGGAAUAUUGGACAAUGGGCGCAAGCCUGAUCCAGCCACGCCGCGUGAGUGAUGAAGGCCUUCGGGUUGUAAAGCUCUGGAGCAAGAGAAGAAAAAGUCGAACAAGAAACGGUUCGACCUUGACGGUACCUUGCUAUUAGCACCGGCUAACUCUGUGCCAGCAGCCGCGGUAAUACAGAGGGUGCGAACGUUGCUCGGAAUUACUGGGCGUAAAGCGCGUGUAGGCGGAUAUAUAAGCCAGACGUGAAAUCCCCGGGCUCAACUCGGGAACUGCGUUUGGAACUGUAUAUCUUGAGUACUGGAGAGGGUCGCGGAAUUCCUGGUGUAGAGGUGAAAUUUGUAGAUAUCAGGAGGAACAUCUGUGGCGAAGGCGGCGACCUGGACAGUAACUGACGCUGAGACGCAAAAGUGUGGGUAGCAAAC